GCAUAUCAAUAAGCGGAGGAAAAGAAACUAACAAGGAUUCCCCUAGUAACUGCGAGUGAAGCGGGAACAGCUCAAAUUUGAAAUCUCCGCGGUUCCCCCCGCGGCGAAUUGUAGUUUCGAGAAGCGUUUUCGGCGGCGGCCUUGGCCCAAGUCCCUUGGAACAGGGUGUCAUAGAGGGUGAGAACCCCGUGAGGCCUUGGCUUGCCGCCAUGUGAUGCGCUUUCAAAGAGUCGGGUUGUUUGGGAUUGCAGCCCAAAACGGGAGGUAAAUUUCUUCUAAAGCUAAAUAUUGGCGAGAGACCGAUAGCGAGCAAGUACCGUGAGGGAAAGAUGAAAAGCACUUUGAAAAGAGAGUUAAAUAGUACGUGAAAUUGUUGAAAGGGAAACGAUUGAAGCCAGUCGUACCGACGGAGAAUCAACCUUUGGAGUGUUAGUUGCGGGUAUUCGAGGAGUCUAAAAGCCUUCGUGUGCUUGCAAAUUGGUGCUUCUUGGGUGCACUUCUUCGUAUUGGUAGGUUAACAUCAAUUUUGGGCGUUACAAAAUGACCGGGGGAAUGUAGCUUCGAUUUUUCGAAGUGUUAUAGACCAAGGUAGAUGUGACGACCGGGAUUGAGGAUUGCAACGAAUGCCUUCGGGCUAUCCGCCUGGCCUCUGAUGGUUGCCCUGGGGUCGAAAGCAUGCUUACGGCUUCAAGGCUUGGCUGUCAAAAGGUUAGAACGUGAUUAAAUUCGUUAAGGAUGUUGACGUA
RNAcentral lists this ribosomal RNA (746 nucleotides) under uncultured Glomerales. RNAcentral's name for it is "LSU rRNA". It matches the Rfam family "Eukaryotic large subunit ribosomal RNA", at positions 38 to 633 of the family's 3401-position model. The record is from RNAcentral. Lineage: Eukaryota; Fungi; Glomeromycota; Glomeromycetes; Glomerales; Glomeraceae.